GGAAAUGCUUUUGAAGUCCUUGGGUGAGAGAUAUGAGUUGGGUUUGGAAUGGGGAAAUGAAUGUGUAUCAUAUAUGUUUGGGAAAAGGGUAGAACAAUGGAGAUUGAGCAUUGUAUGCAUGAGUUGAUCCAUUUCUUAGAUAUAUUUUGUGCAAUGUCAAGGCUACUUGUCUUGAGAGUAUACCACCUUAAAUAACAUAUAUCUUGAACCCCUUGACUCACUUGAUUAAAAAGCCUCCCCU
This 241-nucleotide long non-coding RNA is filed under the name Brassica napus (rape). RNAcentral describes it as "long non-coding RNA (BNAP_LNC011289)". The record is from RNAcentral. Lineage: Eukaryota; Viridiplantae; Streptophyta; Magnoliopsida; Brassicales; Brassicaceae.